GGAGACUUACCCAAGCGGCUGAAGGGUUCGGUCUUGAAAACCGAGAGGUGCUUUAUAAGCACGCGAGGGUUCGAAUCCCUCAGUCUCCG
RNAcentral lists this transfer RNA (89 nucleotides) under Mycoplasmoides genitalium G37. RNAcentral's name for it is "Mycoplasma genitalium G37 tRNA". It matches the Rfam family "tRNA". Rfam says of the family: Transfer RNA (tRNA) molecules are approximately 80 nucleotides in length. Their secondary structure includes four short double-helical elements and three loops (D, anti-codon, and T loops). Further hydrogen bonds mediate the characteristic L-shaped molecular structure. tRNAs have two regions of fundamental functional importance: the anti-codon, which is responsible for specific mRNA codon recognition, and the 3' end, to which the tRNAs corresponding amino acid is attached (by aminoacyl-tRNA synthetases). tRNAs cope with the degeneracy of the genetic code in two manners: having more than one tRNA (with a specific anti-codon) for a particular amino acid; and 'wobble' base-pairing, i.e. permitting non-standard base-pairing at the 3rd anti-codon position. Lineage: Bacteria; Bacillati; Mycoplasmatota; Mycoplasmoidales; Mycoplasmoidaceae. The record is from Rfam by way of RNAcentral.